CCAGCUAAGCCUAACGGGU
This 19-nucleotide non-coding RNA is filed under the name Arabidopsis thaliana (thale cress). The record is from RNAcentral. Lineage: Eukaryota; Viridiplantae; Streptophyta; Magnoliopsida; Brassicales; Brassicaceae.